GACGAACGCUGGCGGCGUGCUUAACACAUGCAAGUCGAACGGAAAGGCCCUGCUUUUGUGGGGUGCUCGAGUGGCGAACGGGUGAGUAACACGUGAGUAACCUGCCCUUGACUUUGGGAUAACUUCAGGAAACUGGGGCUAAUACCGGAUAGGAGCUCCUGCUGCAUGGUGGGGGUUGGAAAGUUUCGGCGGUUGGGGAUGGACUCGCGGCUUAUCAGCUUGUUGGUGGGGUAGUGGCUUACCAAGGCUUUGACGGGUAGCCGGCCUGAGAGGGUGACCGGCCACAUUGGGACUGAGAUACGGCCCAGACUCCUACGGGAGGCAGCGGUGGGGAAUAUUGCACAAUGGGCGGAAGCCUGAUGCGGCAACGCCGCGUGCGGGAUGACGGCCUUCGGGUUGUAAACCGCUUUCGCCUGUGACGAAGCGUGAGUGACGGUAAUGGGUAAAGAAGCACCGGCUAACUACGUG
This 468-nucleotide ribosomal RNA is filed under the name uncultured bacterium. Its description in RNAcentral is "partial 16S ribosomal RNA". It matches the Rfam family "Bacterial small subunit ribosomal RNA", at positions 28 to 507 of the family's 1533-position model. The record is from RNAcentral.